GGGCCGCGCGGGCGCUGGGUGUGGUCCCGGGGCCGCCCGCCUCGCCCCGCCCCGCCCCGCCCACGGCCAGCUGGGUGCAGACCCCGCCUCCAGCCGCUCGGCACCUCCCCGCGCGUCCACCUGGGGCCGCCUAGCUUGACCUCCCCGCAGGCGUUUCUCUUUCUUCUUCUUACCCUCGGCCCUAGCCCAGCUGCUUUUUUCGUACUUCUCUACCCCUUCUUACAUCCCAGUUGUAUUCUGGUUCCCACCUUCUGCUUUUCUACAGGGCAGAGGCGCAAAAGACACCCUCGCACAACGCCCCCCCUGAAGUGCCCGCGACGAGGCGCCCUCUUCUUUCCAACGACACGCCUCCAGGUGUUUCAGAUGGCUGUGUAACAUACAUACAGAAGAGUGCAUAAAUUAUAAUUCUAGAGCUCAGUGAGCUUCCCAGAGUGAACAUACUUUCAUGACCUACCUGGGUCAAGAAUCAGCACAUUACCAGAAAUAGAAGCCACUUCCAGCCUCUUCUUGCUGCCAUCCUGAAGGGUUGAAUUUCCCCCUCAUUGGCAGCUUGGGAAUAUCUGUGUUCAGGGAAAGGAAGAAAACGCCUGGAGUUUCAAUGGGCUACAGGUAAAUUUGACCAGAGAAAGUUGCAGGGGUGAGAAUAAGCCUAUGAAAACGAC
Molecule: long non-coding RNA, 662 nt
Organism: Felis catus (domestic cat)
Lineage: Eukaryota; Metazoa; Chordata; Mammalia; Carnivora; Felidae
Exons: 3
Source: RefSeq, a predicted model, not a curated record